AUAGGCUACGGUGAUAUGACUCCGCACACCUAUCUCGGCAGGAUUAUCGGAUCGGUUUGUGCGCUUGCCGGAGUGCUCACCAUUGCUUUACCCGUUCCGGUAUGUUCAGUGCAAAU
Ascaris suum (pig roundworm) is the source of this 116-nucleotide non-coding RNA. Lineage: Eukaryota; Metazoa; Nematoda; Chromadorea; Rhabditida; Ascarididae. The record is from Rfam.